UAGUUUGUCGGAUUAGACCCGAAACCGAGUGAUCUAGAUAUGAGCAGGUUGAAGGUGCAGUAACAUGCACUGGAGGACCGAACCCACUAAUGUUGAAAAAUUAGGGGAUGACUUGUGUCUAGGGGUGAAAGGCCAAUCAAACUCGGAGAUAGCUGGUUCUCUGCGAAAUCUAUUUAGGUAGAGCGUCAUCCGAAUACCCUCGGGGGUAGAGCACUGGAUGGGUAAUGGGGCCCCACAGGCUUACUGAUCCUAACCAAACUCCGAAUACCCGGGAGUACUAGAUGGCAGACACACGGCGAAUGCUAACGUCCGUCGUGAAGAGGGAAACAACCCUAACCUCCAGCUAAGGCCCCUAAUUCAUGGCUAAGUGGGAAAGCAGGUGAGACGACCAAAACAACCAGGAGGUUGGCUUAGAAGCAGCCAUCCUUUAAAG
This 433-nucleotide ribosomal RNA is filed under the name Pteridomonas danica. RNAcentral's name for it is "partial Bacterial large subunit ribosomal RNA". It matches the Rfam family "Bacterial large subunit ribosomal RNA", at positions 697 to 1128 of the family's 2925-position model. The record is from RNAcentral. Lineage: Eukaryota; Dictyochophyceae; Pedinellales.